UCAAGUCUUCUUUCCAACACUCUCUCUCCCUCCCGUCAAAGUUCCCCCAGAAGACUUCCCAGGCUGGCAGGAUUUCUUUCCAGGCUGUGAAAGUGAGGACUGUUGUGUUAAGUGGAAUCGUGUUCAGGUUAGAAAAGUUAGAGAAGCCACAGAGAUCUUCGGAGUGGAAGGUCUCGCCGUUGUCCUGUUCCAGGCAGAGUGACUGAAGGCACCUCGGAGCUGUUUGGGAAUAUUUGUUGGAAAUGAUUAUUUAAAAAGACCCUGAAUUUCAAGCCCGUAAUGAAUCAACUCUUUAUCCCGUUGGUCCUUCAGAUGUGAAAACAAUUUUGGGUCGGAAACGGUGAGUGCUAGCUAAAAGUCAAACUAACACUUUCCUGAAUUAUUUUUUCCUGGUCAUGGACACAUCUGCCUGCCUUGAAGGUUCAACCUUGAACCCUGAAUCAACACUCAAUUUAAAGAACACUUUAGCCCUUGAGGAAGUGGAUUUUUGUAUUCAAACAAGAGGACUAUGUCUGGUAUAUUUACUGAGAGUUUGAAUUUGCACAAGGUUUCACAACAUUAACAAAUGCUGUAGUAUUUCUAUUGUCUUGUCUAUCCCAGUUUCCUGCUUUGGAACCAUCUCCGCUUGAGAAGGCUGCUUUUCCUCAGUUGGAUGGGGAUCUUCAAUACCUUUUAAGUCUUGCUCCCUUCCCCUCCACCCUCAUAUUGCAAAUCAGUGGUGAGCUAAACGCAUUUUUGCCUUGAACCAGCCCAGCGAAGUGGGGCUCAGUUCCCUCUGGUAAGGAGAUUUCCACGGCUUUCUUUCUGGCUCAGUCACCCAUAGUACCCAUAGUUUCCAUGUGUUCACUUCCCUUUCUUUGGUUAGUAGCUCUCCACAUUACCCUUCACCACCACUCUCUCUAUGUCCCACUCCAUCAGGUUUUUUUAAACUAUAUAAAAGGGCAUGUUUGCUCAAAGCAUCUUUGCACAUUCCUAGUAUAAAUAAUUCUAAAUCAAGAUUGAAACAGUCGUACAUUCUGAUUCUGUUCUUUUCUGGUCAGUACUUAGCAUAAGAUCCAGGCUAUAAUAAGCUUUUUCAGUGAACAGGUUUAAUGUAAAAGCAUCAUCCUCUACUGUGAGUGACAAAAGUGAAUUAUAAUCCUGUAUUCAAUUUCACUCUAAACUUUUUCUCUUCUGACUCCUCCAGAAAAUGCAAUGACUAAUGACUCACUUUGUACCAAUGACACCUGUAGGGAAACCCAAAUGUUCUGCAGCAGAACAUCAUGACCAUCACUUACUGAACUGCCUGCAUCAUGCCCUUCUGAACUCACUGUGAGAAAAGCUAAGAGCAAACUGGGACAGAAGAAAGAAGAGAAACAAACUAGCAUAUUAAGGAAGCAAACUUAGCAAAGGCAAGUGUGAAAAGAAACAGCAAAAGGGAGAGCCAAGCAACACAGAAAUCAGCAGUGGCUGUUUCCAGUGUAGAUAUUGAAUCAUCCUGUGUGGUCCACUGGGAGAUGACCUAAGUCCAAAGUCCCAUGGAAGCUGUACUCUUAAAUUUAAAGCCAAAAACAACAAAUGGGAUUUGAAAGGUUAAGGAGAAAGGAUCACUAUCAAAGUAAAAGGGCGAUAUGCGAAAUAUGGUGGCCCUUGAAGAGGACAUGACUAGCAAAGGAAGGCGGAGAUAUGGGAUCUUUUAAGAAAUGGAGGAUUUCACAGGAGGAGAAGUUCAAAAUCUAUUGUACUGUACCAUUCCUUUUAAGAAAUGAGAGAUUCCUUGAUGAGGAAGAACUCAAAACCUACCAUACUGUACCACUCUCACAAAGAAGGGGUGGACCACAUUCCACAUACUCAUGAUUAUCAGAAAGUGGGUUUCUAGAUGAGAAUGUGAGAGCCAGAGAUGCCUUAGAAAUCAGUCACCUGGUCUGACCACCGAAUGCCUACCUUGAAGAUACUGACCCAGGAAGUUAAGGGGCUGGACCACGUUCAUACAGCUGCCCCGUGGCAAAGGGAGACUGGAACCAGCCCAUCCUUUUCUCCCUGUGUCUCAUUCCCUCCCUCCUGAACCACACACUGACUUGAUCUGCUUUUCCAUUUCCAGAACUUUGACCAAAACCGCCUUCCUCCAGGUGGAUGAGGCAGUCACAUAGUUAUGCGUAUCUUUUUCUCCAGAUCUCCUUCCACAUGGCUAUGUCUAAGACUUCAAAUUGCAGUUUUAUAAAUUAAUGCCAUCCAGCAAGGAAUGAAAAUCACUUCUGAUAUUAAACAAGGGUAUUCUUCAUAUACAUACCGCAUUAUGAAAUUGAAAUAAAAGAAAUGGCUUUCAAGACCUCUUGUACUUUAUUUUGCAACUGCUUAAAAUAAGAUCAUCAAAGACUGUUGGAAUUGGAAGGAACCUUGGAGGACUCCAGGCCAAAUCUCUCGUAGAGCAGCAGGGAGGAAGCCAAGAGACCUGCCACAUCCUUAUUCAGACCCUGCAGGGAGCUCGGGCCACCUGAUGCCACUCCGGCCACCACCAGUUUUUCACUUUUCCAUUCAACCAUCAAGUGUCUUCAGUUUUAGAAACAUUUUAAUCAUCAAUGGAAAUGGAAAUGAAUGUUAAAAAUAAAAUUUUACUA
Non-coding RNA from Microcebus murinus (gray mouse lemur), 2597 nucleotides. The record is from RefSeq and is a predicted model, not a curated record. NCBI's taxonomy places the organism in Eukaryota, Metazoa, Chordata, Mammalia, Primates, Cheirogaleidae.